ACUAACUAGAAAGGGGACUCGUACCGAAAUAAAGAUGAUUACUCUUCCGAAAUGUUACGGUGUAACUCGAACGGUACGAGUUGUGAAAUAGCAGCGGCUGCCAUUAUAGGAAUGGCACGGUGUUGAUGGAAUUCGGUGAGAUGUCCGCAUUCUCUGUUAGAUUGAAAUUUACUGGAAAUUUGAGCGGCGGUCAUUUUGACGUCCUCGAAGAAGAUUCCACUGCAGGGAAAAAAACAAAUUGCUCCAUCGUUCACAAUGGCAGAUUUUUGGAAACCACAACAGUCAAAUAAAUUCAAAUACAAAUGAAGGUCGAGUUUGUGGUUCGCAUUUCUUCAAUGGCCUUCUAUCACGCUCGCCAUUCAAGGCAGACAGACCACCCAGUCAACCAGAGUGUCACGUAUCCUGUCACUGAGUGGAUAACGUCAUGUCAAAAGGGCAUUAUAGGUCACAUCUUCGAAGACGGACUAUGAUGUAAAGUACAUGAAAGGAGUAUGGAUGUUGAAAUUGAUGAAGAAACGUCAUGGCGACAUGUAAAAUAGGCAUAAGGUGUGGUGAAAUAAUUUCAAAAUUCGUUUGAGAAGCAUAUGUAAAAUUAUCUCGAAGAAAAUUUUAAUCUACAGGUAAUAUAAAAGUUGACAAGUAUA
This 644-nucleotide long non-coding RNA is filed under the name Leptinotarsa decemlineata (Colorado potato beetle). RNAcentral describes it as "uncharacterized LOC111510190, transcript variant X1". Lineage: Eukaryota; Metazoa; Arthropoda; Insecta; Coleoptera; Chrysomelidae. The record is from RNAcentral.